RNAcentral lists this ribosomal RNA (477 nucleotides) under uncultured bacterium. RNAcentral's name for it is "partial 16S ribosomal RNA". It matches the Rfam family "Bacterial small subunit ribosomal RNA", at positions 28 to 507 of the family's 1533-position model. The record is from RNAcentral.
GAUGAACGCUGGCGGCGUGCCUAACACAUGCAAGUCGAACGAAGCACCUUACCUGAUUCUUCGGAUGAAAGUUUGGUGACUGAGUGGCGGACGGGUGAGUAACGCGUGGGUAACCUGCCCUGUACAGGGGGAUAACAGCUGGAAACGGCUGCUAAUACCGCAUAAGCGCACGAGGGGACAUCUCCUUGUGUGAAAAACUCCGGUGGUACAGGAUGGGCCCGCGUCUGAUUAGCUGGUUGGCAGGGUAACGGCCUACCAAGGCAACGAUCAGUAGCCGGUCUGAGAGGAUGAACGGCCACAUUGGAACUGAGACACGGUCCAAACUCCUACGGGAGGCAGCAGUGGGGAAUAUUGCACAAUGGGGGAAACCCUGAUGCAGCAACGCCGCGUGAGUGAAGAAGUAUUUCGGUAUGUAAAGCUCUAUCAGCAGGGAAGAUAAUGACGGUACCUGACUAAGAAGCACCGGCUAAAUACGUG